GCCCCCGUAGCUCAGCGGAUAAGAGCAGCGCCCUUCUAAGGCGUUGGCCGCUGGUUCGAAUCCAGCCGGGGGCA
Molecule: transfer RNA, 74 nt
Rfam family: tRNA
About the family: Transfer RNA (tRNA) molecules are approximately 80 nucleotides in length. Their secondary structure includes four short double-helical elements and three loops (D, anti-codon, and T loops).